RNAcentral lists this ribosomal RNA (250 nucleotides) under uncultured prokaryote. Its description in RNAcentral is "partial 16S ribosomal RNA". It matches the Rfam family "Bacterial small subunit ribosomal RNA", at positions 524 to 773 of the family's 1533-position model. The record is from RNAcentral.
UACGGGGGGUGCGAGCGUUGUCCGGAAUCAUUGGGCGUAAAGAGUUCGUAGGCGGCAAAACAAGUCCGGUGUUAAAGGCGCAGGCUUAACCUGUGUAUGGCACUGGAUACUGUUUAGCUGGAAUGCGGUAGAGGUAUAGGGAAUUUCUGGUGUAGCGGUGAAAUGCUUAGAUAUCAGGAAGAACAUCGGUGGCGUAAGCGCUUUACUGGGCCGUAAUUGACGCUGAGGAACGAAAGCCGGGGUAGCAGAU